GAUGAACGCUGGCGGCGUGCUUAACACAUGCAAGUCGAACGGAAAGGCCCUGCUUUUGUGGGGUGCUCGAGUGGCGAACGGGUGAGUAACACGUGAGUAACCUGCCCUUGACUUUGGGAUAACUUCAGGAAACUGGGGCUAAUAUCGGAUAGGAGCUCCUGCUGCAUGGUGGGGGUAGGAAAGUUUCGGCGGUUGGGGAUGGACUCGCGGCUUAUCAGCUUGUUGGUGGGGUAGUGGCUUACCAAGGCUUUGACGGGUAGCCGGCCUGAGAGGGGGACCGGCCACAAUAGGACUACGAGACGGCCCAGACGCCUACGUGAGGCAGCAGUGGGGAGUAUUGCACAAUGGGGGGAAGCCUGAUGCAACGACUCCGCGUGCGGGAUGACGGCCUUCGGGUUGUAAACCGCUUUCGCCUGUGACGAGGCGUGAGUGACGGUAAUGGGUAAAGAAGCACCGGCUAACUACGUG
RNAcentral lists this ribosomal RNA (468 nucleotides) under uncultured bacterium. Its description in RNAcentral is "partial 16S ribosomal RNA". It matches the Rfam family "Bacterial small subunit ribosomal RNA", at positions 28 to 507 of the family's 1533-position model. The record is from RNAcentral.